AUUGAAUCAAUUAAUAGCAUGUACAAGGAAACUCCGAUUAUUUGAAGGAGUGGAGAAAAAUGACUUGAUUCUUUACAAGUAGUGGAGACUAUUAUUAGUAUUCCAGAUAGAGUGUGUUCUUAGGAGUCCAUCAUGUGCUUUGAUCUGUCUGCAUCCACAGCUGGAAACUUUGCGCCAGUCUCUGGAAGCAGCACGAACUGACAACAGUCGCCUCCAUCAGGAAAGUGAGUUAGUGGUUGAAAAUGUUAAUCAGUGGAUCAAAGAACAAAAAAUUACAGGCUGUUAAUUCCUCUGGGAUCAUUGCUUCCUAUCAGAUUAAUUUGAAUUGACCAGCAUUUUCAGAAGUUACUGUGUAUGUGUGGACAGAAAGAGACAUACCACUGAAUGUGAGGAAGAGGAGGUUCUUUGAAAUAUGUAUGACCGGCGUGAGAUUAAGAAACAACAGUUCAAAUGUUGGUCCGACCCGUUUAUUACAAACGUUAAUAAGGGAGAUGAAGAAAGGGGAGGACGGACACUAUUACGGAUUGGGGUGAUGGGAAAGGGAAGGCAAGCGAUAGAAAAGAUAGAAAGAAGCAAGAAUUGCGUAAAGCGGGGAUAGUCACCACCAGGAUCCGGCAGCAGUCCCGUUGCACGACAUUCCUAUGGUCCGAGGCCGAAGGGCAGGAGCAGCGAGGCCAGUCUUGGACAACGAGAGGGUGCAGGUACUGGGAGGGUCCAGGAAGAAGCCGCAGAGUAAGUCUGGGAGGAAGCAGCAGGUCUCAGGUAGCAGGCCCAGGGAAGUCCAUCAGCAUACGGUCCGUAGUGAAUGAUCUGAUGGCAGAAACCUCGAGUCCGUCAUGCUGAGGGAUAUGAUGGCAGAAAACCCCCUCCUCAUGGUAAUUGGACCCUCUUUUAUCCUCCUCUUUUUCCUGCCUACGUGACAUCCCUGGGUGUUUGAGCAAGAGUCAUGUGUGUAGCUCCUGAGAUGGCCAUCUUCCUCGAGAUAAGUCCACACAAAAGACCAUUUCCCGGCCAUUAUCAGCAGCUUAUCCCUCUCUUGUUGCCCCUGGAUUUGUCCAUCUGUGCUCCUUAAAGGAUUUCAAAACCCUUAGCCAGGACCUGUCCAUCAGUGUCCUCUAGACAGAAGAUUUCUGUACCUUUGCCCAGGACUUGCCUGGACUUGUUCCUCAGCAAACUUUGAGUCAAUCAUAUAAAAGAAUAAUCUCUUACAACCGUGUAAAAAGUCAUUCCCCUACUGCAAUUUAAUGUAGUGUGUAUUUUAAUGUACUGUGAUUAGCAAUCCCUCAGAGUUUUAAAAUAUCCCAACAAUAAGAGUUUUGAAGGUUUGAAUUUACUUAUCCCAUAAGAUUACAAACUCUGAAAAUAUAUCUCAAGUAUCUGCUGCUUUAGCUUGUGUAUGCUCUUUUAAGCUUAAAUAAACACAUUUUUCAUACAUUAUAAAAAUAUAAGUAAAUGUCUCUCUUAAACUGCUUAAAAAUUAUAAUGCAGUUUUCAAUGUCAUACGCAAUGUACUACACUGUUGUCCAUUAUAGACAAACAACAGGCUACAUAACAUAGGAUUGAUCAUCUAAUAAUAGACACAUGUGGUAGCUCUUUUUUUUCCUUUCUUUAUUGAUGAUCCAAUGUAUUAUUGCUUAAGUUUUUAGUUCAUAAACAUUAGCACACAAAAUUACCACUGUGGGAUCAAAAAUAUAAUCUCUCAUUUACAUUUGUGAAAGGUAGUACUGCAAAUUUACUCUUUUCAUUUUGGCUUUGUGUGUGUGUGUGUGUGUCAGGGGAAGGUGGUUAAUAGCACUGAAUUAAAUCACAGAAUCAUCAAAUCAUACAAUAGAUAUCCAUUUAUAGAAAAUAAGCAGUGGAGGCUGUAGACAGUAGGUUAAAGACAUAAAUACAUUUUUUUUCCAAAUCUAUAGAAAUACACAAUAUGAAUUGCCUGUAACAGCAAUAAAUACGUUUCUAAUGAAGACAUGUAUUGAAGAAAAAAGUCCACAGACUUUUACACGGCUUUUUGAGGUUGUUCAAAUUACAAACAGUUAAAUUAGUUGAUCCAAUCUUUAAACCUAAGGGUUUAACUCUCACAAAAUCUUUUGAUGUGUUUUCAUUAGUUUCCCAUUACAUCUUCUUGGAGAAAACUUUAGAAUAUACUCCAAAAGUCCAUAUUAGACUGACAUUCAUGCUCAAUUUUUGAGUUUUAAAAAAAUUUUUAGUCAUUUAUCGAGUACACAGAAGUAAAUAUCUCUGAAAAGACACUGAUUUUGAAAGAUUUCUAUGUCAUAAAUGGGACAUUUCAUAGCCACUGUGCAGGUAAUCAUGAGAAAAUUUAGCAUAUUCAAGUUCCUUUACACCAGAAUGGCCACAAACCUAUUUGCUACUUAGCCAUUUAACACAAUUAUUUACUGUUCAAGAGAUACACAGUUACUAUAGCAACAACUACAUUUGCCACCCCAGAAUAAAUUGAAGGCCUAAUCUGUCCUGCCAGUAAAGCAAAAAGCUUUUCAAAAUGUAGUUUAUCUAUUGCCUUUAUAAUAGAAAUUAGUGGCACUCAAAUUAUGACCCAUGAUCUGGUUUCAGACUGCCAGCUUUGAUCUUGCAAGUGUUACACCUGGCUCAUAGUUUAACUGUAUGUUCAGUAGCUUUGACAACUUUAAUAUACUAUUUUAUAUAAAUAAAAUGCUUCAGCUGACUUUUUCUAAUUGUGGCAGAAAAGAAGAAACUAUGCUGUAGAGACUUAUGAAAAUAUGGCUGGAAACUUGAUUUCACUCUUAAAAUAUUUCUUAGAAUUUUCUGGCUGC
Molecule: long non-coding RNA, 2792 nt
Filed under: Gallus gallus (chicken)
Lineage: Eukaryota; Metazoa; Chordata; Aves; Galliformes; Phasianidae
Source: RNAcentral